Molecule: ribosomal RNA, 112 nt
Filed under: Glomus sp.
Lineage: Eukaryota; Fungi; Glomeromycota; Glomeromycetes; Glomerales; Glomeraceae
Description: partial small subunit ribosomal RNA
Rfam family: Eukaryotic small subunit ribosomal RNA
Source: RNAcentral
ACCGAUUGAAUGGCUUAGUGAGGCCCUCGGAUCGAUGUUCGGAGACUGGCAACAGUUUCCGUUCGUUGAGAAGUUGGUCAAACUUGGUCAUUUAGAGGAAGUAAAAGUCGUA